CACCCGUUCCCAUUCCGAACACGGAAGUUAAGCCUUUCAGCGCCGAUGGUACUGCACGGGCAGCUGUGUGGGAGAGUAGGACG
RNAcentral lists this ribosomal RNA (83 nucleotides) under uncultured Desulfobacterales bacterium HF0200_07G10. Lineage: Bacteria; Pseudomonadati; Thermodesulfobacteriota; Desulfobacteria; Desulfobacterales. The record is from RNAcentral.